GUGUCAGCCGCCGCGGUAAUACCAGCACCCCGAGUGGUCGGGACGAUUAUUGGGCCUAAAGCAUCCGUAGCCGGUUCUGCAAGUCCCCCGUUAAAUCCAGCUGCUCAACAGAUGGGCCGCGGAGGAUACUACAGAGCUAGGAGGCAGGAGAGGCAAGCGGUACUCAGUGGGUAGGGGUAAAAUCCGUUGAUCCAUUGAAGACCACCAGUGGCGAAGGCGGCUUGCCAGAAUGCGCUCGACGGUGAGGGAUGAAAGCUGGGGGAGCAAACCGGAUUAGAUACCCGGGUAGUCCCAGCCGUAAACGAUGCAGACUCGGUGAUGGGUUGGCUUCGCGCUAACCCAGUGCCGCAGGGAAGCCGUUAAGUCUGCCGCCUGGGUAGUACGGUCGCAAGACUGAA
This 398-nucleotide ribosomal RNA is filed under the name uncultured bacterium. RNAcentral's name for it is "bacterial SSU rRNA". It matches the Rfam family "Archaeal small subunit ribosomal RNA", at positions 455 to 853 of the family's 1478-position model. The record is from RNAcentral.